This is a long non-coding RNA of Prosopis cineraria, 457 nucleotides long. RefSeq lists it as uncharacterized. Lineage: Eukaryota; Viridiplantae; Streptophyta; Magnoliopsida; Fabales; Fabaceae. The transcript has 2 exons. The record is from RefSeq and is a predicted model, not a curated record.
AAUAUGAGCAGAAUCAUUUUUGCAAACAAAUUAGAAUUGGUUUGCAUGACUUUUAAGCAAGCUUCAAUGUUGAGGAAGACAACACAAUCUUAUCAAAUCAACAAAAUACUAAAAGGUCUAGGCGAAGGAUCUAUUGGUAGACAGGGAAAAGAGUUAAGCUAGGGGUUUGCUUGUGAUUUGUAAAGAACUGCAACCCCUUUUCUUUGAGCAAGUACAAUGUAAUGUAUUUAAGAUUAAGGUGCCAGUAGGAUGUGAUUAUAUAUAUGCAUGUGAAUAUGUGUGGAUUGUAUGCCUUUAUAUGAUUUUUUAUCUGCUUGUGAACUUGUGAUUAGAAAACUUGGUUAUGGUAUGUGGUUUUGAUAGAUUUAUUUAGUAGACCAAGUUUCUACUACAAGCAGAUAUUUAUUUUGAUAUGUAUGUGAUUCUAUAAGUAAAUGCAAAGUGGUUGCAUUGCAAA